RNAcentral lists this ribosomal RNA (429 nucleotides) under Pseudomonadota bacterium. RNAcentral's name for it is "Proteobacteria bacterium partial 16S ribosomal RNA". It matches the Rfam family "Bacterial small subunit ribosomal RNA", at positions 355 to 776 of the family's 1533-position model. Lineage: Bacteria; Pseudomonadati; Pseudomonadota. The record is from RNAcentral.
UGGGGAAUAUUGGACAAUGGGCGAAAGCCUGAUCCAGCCAUGCCGCGUGUGUGAAGAAGGUCUUCGGAUUGUAAAGCACUUUAAGUUGGGAGGAAGGGCAGUAAGCGAAUACCUUGCUGUUUUGACGUUACCGACAGAAUAAGCACCGGCUAACUCUGUGCCAGCAGCCGCGGUAAUACAGAGGGUGCAAGCGUUAAUCGGAAUUACUGGGCGUAAAGCGCGCGUAGGUGGUUCGUUAAGUUGAAUGUGAAAGCCCCGGGCUCAACCUUGGAACUGCAUCCAAAACUGGCGAGCUAGAGUAGGGCAGAGGGUGGUGGAAUUUCCUGUGUAGCGGUGAAAUGCGUAGAUAUAGGAAGGAACACCAGUGGCGAAGGCGACCACCUGGGCUCAUACUGACACUGAGGUGCGAAAGCGUAGGGAGCAAACAGG